Molecule: ribosomal RNA, 476 nt
Filed under: uncultured Planctomycetales bacterium
Lineage: Bacteria; Pseudomonadati; Planctomycetota; Planctomycetia; Planctomycetales
Description: bacterial SSU rRNA
Rfam family: Bacterial small subunit ribosomal RNA
Source: RNAcentral
UCGCAAUGCCCGAAAGGGUGACGAAGCGACGCCGCGUGCGGGAAGAAGGCCUUCGGGUUGUAAACCGCUGUCGGGAGUUAAGAAAUGUAAGGAUGUUAAUAGCAUCUUUGCUUGACUAAGGCUCCGGAGGAAGCCACGGCUAACUCUGUGCCAGCAGCCGCGGUAAUACAGAGGCGGCAAGCGUUGUUCGGAAUUAUUGGGCGUAAAGAGCACGUAGGCGGCUAUGUAAGUCGGUUGUGAAAGCCUUCCGCUCAACGGGAGAACAGCAUCCGAUACUGCAUGGCUUGAGUGCGGGAGGGGAGAGUGGAACUUCUGGUGGAGCGGUGAAAUGCGUAGAUAUCAGAAGGAACGCCGGCGGCGAAAGCGGCUCUCUGGCCCAUAACUGACGCUGAGUGUGCGAAAGCUAGGGGAGCAAACGGGAUUAGAUACCCCGGUAGUCCUAGCCGUAAACGAUGGGCACUAAGUAGAGGGGUUUU